AGUCGAGCGAAUCGACGGGAGCUUGCUCCCUGAGAUUAGCGGCGGACGGGUGAGUAACACGUGGGCAACCUGCCUAUAAGACUGGGAUAACUUCGGGAAACCGGAGCUAAUACCGGAUACGUUCUUUUCUCGCAUGAGAGAAGAUGGAAAGACGGUUUACGCUGUCACUUAUAGAUGGGCCCGCGGCGCAUUAGCUAGUUGGUGAGGUAAUGGCUCACCAAGGCGACGAUGCGUAGCCGACCUGAGAGGGUGAUCGGCCACACUGGGACUGAGACACGGCCCAGACUCCUACGGGAGGCAGCAGUAGGGAAUCUUCCGCAAUGGACGAAAGUCUGACGGAGCAACGCCGCGUGAACGAAGAAGGCCUUCGGGUCGUAAAGUUCUGUUGUUAGGGAAGAACAAGUACCAGAGUAACUGCUGGUACCUUGACGGUACCUAACCAGAAAGCCACGGCUAACUACGUGCCAGCAGCCGCGGUAAUACGUAGGUGGCAAGCGUUGUCCGGAAUUAUUGGGCGUAAAGCGCGCGCAGGUGGUUCCUUAAGUCUGAUGUGAAAGCCCACGGCUCAACCGUGGAGGGUCAUUGGAAACUGGGGAACUUGAGUGCAGA
RNAcentral lists this ribosomal RNA (609 nucleotides) under bacterium 82-L049642-122-014-B11. RNAcentral describes it as "bacterial SSU rRNA". It matches the Rfam family "Bacterial small subunit ribosomal RNA", at positions 60 to 652 of the family's 1533-position model. The record is from RNAcentral.